UACGAGGGGGGCGAGCGUUGUUCGGAAUUAUUGGGCGUAAAGGGUGCGUAGGCGGUUUGGUAAGUCUUGUGUGAAAUCUUCGGGCUCAACUCGAAGUCUGCACGAGAAACUGCCGGGCUUGAGUAUGGGAGAGGUGAGUGGAAUUCCAGGUGUAGCGGUGAAAUGCGUAGAUAUCUGGAGGAACACCGGUGGCGAAGGCGGCAUCCUGGACCGACACUGACACUGAGGAGCGAAAGCCAGGGGAGCAAACGGG
This 253-nucleotide ribosomal RNA is filed under the name uncultured bacterium. Its description in RNAcentral is "partial 16S ribosomal RNA". It matches the Rfam family "Bacterial small subunit ribosomal RNA", at positions 524 to 776 of the family's 1533-position model. The record is from RNAcentral.